GACUCCGUGGGCGUAGGACCCUACGAGCCAGGUGUGGGAUGUAAUCUCAUGGUGAGCCAUUUUUUUAAGCCGGUCUGAAAAGCGCAAUAUUCGGGUGGGAGUGACCUGAUUUUCCAGUUGAGACAGGAUCUCACUAUGUUGCCUUGCAUGGACUGGAACUCCUUGGCUCAAGAAAUCUUCUUGCCUCAGCCUCCCAAAUAGCUAGGACUAUAUGCACAUGCUACUACACCUAGUGGAAAAUGAAGCACAGAGAAGUUCAGUGAUGGACCUCAGAUACUACCAGCAGAAAGCAGAAGAGCUAGGAUUUCAACUUAGGAUGUCUGGAUCCACAGUCUGCACUCCUACCCACUAUGCUACACUGCCUCUAACUAUGAGGAAGCAAGGGCAUUUUUUUUUUUCUGGUGACUAAAAAGAUAAGAGUUCAAGUAUGUGGCUCCUGAUAAUCUAACUUAUACAGCCUGGAAAAAUUGAUAGUUACUAUAUCCAGACUGUCUCAUUCAAUUAACAGUUUCUCAAGUAAUCUUCUAGUUACUGUCGUAUUUUAUCUGUAUCAACUUAGCAAACCAAGUCCAAAACAUUUUAUAUGUGUCUAUCUUUCCUGCUGUUCAUAUUAUUGAGUUAGCCAAAUAAAUUCAAUUUUUUUUCUACUGUUUGUUUCUCACAAAUUAUGACUGGCAUCUGUAUAUCUGGGAAGGUUCUACUGCAUUGCUGUAUUAUCACUAUAUAAUUAUAAGAGAUCACAGAGUGCAUUGAUGAAGGCCAUGUUGAGACAUGAUGAAACAGGGUCCAUUGUGACUGGGUGAAACUGUCUUCAAUUUCCUGGUCUAUAAAGCAGAG
This 837-nucleotide long non-coding RNA is filed under the name Homo sapiens (human). Its description in RNAcentral is "HSALNT0073784". Lineage: Eukaryota; Metazoa; Chordata; Mammalia; Primates; Hominidae. The record is from RNAcentral.